ACCGGCGCACGGGUGCGUAACGCGUAUGCAAUCUACCUUGUACAGAGGGAUAGCCCAGAGAAAUUUGGAUUAAUACCUCAUAGUAUCUUCGGAAGGCAUCUUCUGAUUAUUAAAGUUCCAACGGUACAAGAUGAGCAUGCGUCCCAUUAGCUAGAUGGUAAGGUAACGGCUUACCAUGGCAACGAUGGGUAGGGGUCCUGAGAGGGAGAUCCCCCACACUGGUACUGAGACACGGACCAGACUCCUACGGGAGGCAGCAGUGAGGAAUAUUGGUCAAUGGGCGCAAGCCUGAACCAGCCAUGCCGCGUGCAGGAAGACGGUCCUAUGGAUUGUAAACUGCUUUUAUACGGGAAGAAACACUGCUACGUGUAGCAGCUUGACGGUACCGUAAGAAUAAGCAUCGGCUAACUCCGUGCCAGCAGCCGCGGUAAUACAGAGGAUGCGAGCGUUAUCCGGAAUCAUUGGGUUUAAAGGGUCCGUAGGCGGCCUUAUAAGUCAGUGGUGAAAUCUCCUAGCUCAACUAGGAAACUGCCAUUGAUACUGUAGGGCUUGAAUUAUUGGGAAGUAACUAGAAUAUGUAGUGUAGCGGUGAAAUGCUUAGAUAUUACAUGGAAUACCAAUUGCGAAGGCAGGUUACUAUCAAUAUAUUGACGCUGAUGGACGAAAGCGUGGGGAGCGAACAGGAUUAGAUACCCUGGUA
Molecule: ribosomal RNA, 700 nt
Filed under: uncultured bacterium
Lineage: Bacteria
Description: bacterial SSU rRNA
Rfam family: Bacterial small subunit ribosomal RNA
Source: RNAcentral